AUGCAGGCGCGGACGACGGAGAGGGGGCCCGCCGGCAACAGAGGAAGGCGAGGCCGAGCGGCUUGCAUGAUGGAGGCUCCACAGUAUAGACCUUGGUCAGAUCUUCCGCCAGAACUCUUGGGCCUUGUCCUCAAGCGCCUCCCCUCGCUAGCUGACCGUGUUCGUCUGAGAGCAGUCUGUCACCCAUGGCGCUCUAACAGCCUGCUGCAACCACUUCCCCUCCCAUUCCCAUGGCUCACCCUCCCUGAUGGCACCUUCUUCAGCAUCCCAGGAGGUGAGGUUCACCAGAUGUGUUUACCAGAUGGUGCUCGUUGCCAUGGCUCCAUUGACAACUGGUUAUUCCUCAUGAGGAGUGAUGACGCAUGCACAUUGAUGAACCCUUUCUCUAAGACCACAUUGGAGCUUCCUAUUCCGCUCUCAUUUUGGCAGCGUAUACACGGCGAAUAUGAUCCUAAGCAACUUUUGUACAAGUUGGUGGUACCCUCGCCCCUAGACAUAUCACCUGAUUCCCUUGUUGCGGCAUUGAUCAAGGAUGAUGAUAAUAUCGGUACAGUUUGCACUAGUCAGCCACUGAUUGCCACUUACUCGGUACAAGGCAAUUCAGUACAUCGCUUCUUUGAUGCCGCGUUGUUCGAUGAAAAGUUGUACGCGGUGUCUGUCUUUGGCCAGCUCUUCAUCCUUGAGUUAUGCAGAAACCUCGAUAGUAAUUCAACCAUCAAUCGCGUAAUCGACUCUUCGGGCGAUUUUCAUGGAGGACCAGAAUGCAUUUCCAGAGAGGUGGCGUUCACAUACAUGGUGUAUCUAGUUGAAUGUGCUGGUAGACUAUUGGUGGUGAAACGAUUCAUUCGUCGUCUGAGCCCUUCCCCUGAUGACAAUAUCUUUGACAAUACUCAAACUCCUGGAUUUGUUGUCCUUGAGGCAGACCUGCACUCCAACCCUUGCCGAUGGAAAAGGAUCAGUGAGUUGGGGGGACAUGCUCUCUUUGUUGGCCAGCAUGGCUCCAAGUCUCUGCCUGCUAGAGAAUGCAUAGGAUCCCAGGAGGAUUGCAUCUACUUCAUUUGUGACUAUCCCCAUCCAAAGUAUUUUUUCGAGUCCAUUUCGUGA
Molecule: ribosomal RNA, 1104 nt
Filed under: Triticum aestivum (bread wheat)
Lineage: Eukaryota; Viridiplantae; Streptophyta; Magnoliopsida; Poales; Poaceae
Description: partial small subunit ribosomal RNA
Source: RNAcentral